This 27-nucleotide small RNA is filed under the name Bombyx mori (domestic silkworm). Its description in RNAcentral is "ovarian small RNA-15233". The record is from RNAcentral. Lineage: Eukaryota; Metazoa; Arthropoda; Insecta; Lepidoptera; Bombycidae.
GAAGCCAGGCUCCAAACUCCCCUCCAA